AAUUUGAGUAUUAUAACUUCAAGCUAGCAACAUGUACUUAUUCUGUUGGAACAUGAUGGAUACAUGUAGGCUUGUGUCGGAACAUGAAUACAUGUAGGAAAACUGUACAAUGUUGAAACUUCAUUAAAUGAACAUUCAUUAGUCUAUUUGUGUCGUUAUUAGUGACAAGCUAUUGCUAUUGUUGCUUAAACUAUUAUGCGUAAUAACCAUCUGCAAAACAGGACUACCAAUUAUCUGCGA
Molecule: long non-coding RNA, 240 nt
Organism: Alosa sapidissima (American shad)
Lineage: Eukaryota; Metazoa; Chordata; Actinopteri; Clupeiformes; Clupeidae
Exons: 3
Source: RefSeq, a predicted model, not a curated record